Molecule: ribosomal RNA, 497 nt
Filed under: uncultured bacterium
Lineage: Bacteria
Description: partial 16S ribosomal RNA
Rfam family: Bacterial small subunit ribosomal RNA
Source: RNAcentral
GACGAACGCUGGCGGCGUGCCUAAUACAUGCAAGUUGAGCGCUGAAGGUUGGUACUUGUACCAACUGGAUGAGCAGCAAACGGGUGAGUAACGCGUGGGGAAUCUGCCUUUGAGCGGGGGACAACAUUUGGAAACGAAUGCUAAUACCGCAUAAAAACUUUAAACACAAGUUUUAAGUUUGAAAGAUGCAAUUGCAUCACUCAAAGAUGAUCCCGCGUUGUAUUAGCUAGUUGGUGAGGUAAAGGCUCACCAAGGCGAUGAUACAUAGCCGACCUGAGAGGGUGAUCGGCCACAUUGGGACGGAGACACGGCCCAAACUCCUACGGGAGGCAGCAGUAGGGAAUCUUCGGCAAUGGACGAAAGUCUGACCGAGCAACGCCGCGUGAGUGAAGAAGGUUUUCGGAUCGUAAAACUCUGUUGGUAGAGAAGAACGUUGGUGAGAGUGGAAAGCUCAUCAAGUGACGGUAACUACCCAGAAAGGGACGGCUAACUACGUG